RNAcentral lists this ribosomal RNA (143 nucleotides) under Cronobacter sakazakii 696. RNAcentral's name for it is "Small Subunit Ribosomal RNA; ssuRNA; SSU rRNA". It matches the Rfam family "Bacterial small subunit ribosomal RNA", at positions 144 to 289 of the family's 1533-position model. Lineage: Bacteria; Pseudomonadati; Pseudomonadota; Gammaproteobacteria; Enterobacterales; Enterobacteriaceae. The record is from RNAcentral.
UAACUACUGGAAACGGUAGCUAAUACCGCAUAACGUCUACGGACCAAAGUGGGGGACCUUCGGGCCUCAUGCCAUCAGAUGUGCCCAGAUGGGAUUAGCUAGUAGGUGGGGUAACGGCUCACCUAGGCGACGAUCCCUAGCUG